GAACGGUCGCGUAACACGUAGGCAACCUGCCCCAAAGACCGGGACAACAGUUCGAAAGGACUGCUAAUACCGGAUGUGGUCACUCCCUCUCAUGGGGGGGUGAGUAAAACCGAGCAAUCGGGCUUUGGGAGGGGCCUGCGGCCUAUCAGCUAGAUGGUGGGGUAACGGCCUACCAUGGCGACGACGGGUAGCUGGUCUGAGAGGAUGGUCAGCCGGACUGGGACUGAGACACGGCCCAGACUCCUACGGGGGGCAGCAAUUAGGAAUCUUGCACAAUGGGCGAAAGCCUGAUGCAGCGACGCCGCGUGGAGGAGGACGGCCUUCGGGUUGUAAACUCCUUUUAUCAGGGAAGAAACAAAUGACGGUACCUGAUGAAUAAGCCCCGGCUAACUCCGUGCCAGCAGCCGCGGUAAUACGGAGGGGGCGAGCGUUGUCCGAAGUUACUGGGCGUAAAGCGCGCGUAGGCGGGGAGGAAAGUCCGCUGUGAAAGCCCGAGGCUUAACCUCGGCGGGUCGGUGGAUACUUCCUCUCUUGAAGGUGCUAGGGGGAAAUGGAAUGACCGGUGUAGCGGUGAAAUGCGUAGAUAUCGGUCGGAA
RNAcentral lists this ribosomal RNA (596 nucleotides) under uncultured bacterium. RNAcentral describes it as "bacterial SSU rRNA". It matches the Rfam family "Bacterial small subunit ribosomal RNA", at positions 100 to 706 of the family's 1533-position model. The record is from RNAcentral.